Molecule: long non-coding RNA, 471 nt
Organism: Gavialis gangeticus (Gharial)
Lineage: Eukaryota; Metazoa; Chordata; Crocodylia; Gavialidae
Exons: 3
Source: RefSeq, a predicted model, not a curated record
ACACGUGACCUAAACCUAGGUACAAAUGCAGUCACUGGAGUGACCCUGAUGCCAAGGUUAACUUGUGUUUGGAAGAGAAUCUGCCAGAGAGGCCAUAGCUCUCCUGGCUUUGCUACUUUUGAUGCGUGACACUUGCCUGGAGCCUAAGCUCCUGGGCUGGAGACUAGAUCUGUACAGGGUAUUUGAGAUCAGACUCCAAUCUGUGAAACACUGAAUAUUGCAGGUUUUCAUGUAGAGCCCGGUAGGAGUCCAUCAAAGAGUUCACUUCUGUUGCUGCCAUUCUAGCAAGGUUGGAAAAACAGAUCACAUCCAAGCCUUAGGAGCACAUUUCCAGUUUCCCGCCCACCUGUAUCCCAGCAAGACAUCACAUGGGGCUAAAAGUUAACUCGAGUUGCUGAAACUCUGCAUUUACAUCUGUAAAUUUCUGCAUCCUGUUUAAUUAAUGUAAGAUUUUAUUUUUGUACUUUGCCA